UACGGAGGGGGCAAGCGUUGUUCGGAAUUACUGGGCGUAAAGGGCGCGCAGGCGGCUGCUCAAGUCAGGCGUGGAAGGCCUGGGCUCAACCCGGGAAUUGCGCUUGAGACUGGGCUGGCUUGAGUGCGGGAGAGGAUGGUGGAAUUCCCAGUGUAGAGGUGAAAUUCGUAGAUAUUGGGAAGAACACCGGUGGCGAAGGCGGCCAUCUGGACCGCAACUGACGCUGAGGCGCGAAAGCGUGGGGAGCGAACAGG
This 254-nucleotide ribosomal RNA is filed under the name uncultured bacterium. Its description in RNAcentral is "partial 16S ribosomal RNA". It matches the Rfam family "Bacterial small subunit ribosomal RNA", at positions 524 to 776 of the family's 1533-position model. The record is from RNAcentral.